Molecule: ribosomal RNA, 279 nt
Filed under: uncultured bacterium
Lineage: Bacteria
Description: partial 16S ribosomal RNA
Rfam family: Bacterial small subunit ribosomal RNA
Source: RNAcentral
UGCCAGCCGCCGCGGUAAUACGCAGGGGGCAAGCGUUGCUCGGAAUUACUGGGCGUAAAGGGUCCGUAGGCGGUGGGGCAUGUCGGUUGUGAAAUCUCCCGGCUUAACUAGGAGGGUGCGACCGAAACUGCUCCGCUGGAGGGCCGGAGAGGCGAGUGGAAUUGCUGGUGUAGCGGUGAAAUGCGUAGAGAUCAGCAGGAACACCGGAGGCGAAGGCGGCUCGCUGGACGGCACCUGACGCUGAGGGACGAAAGCUAGGGGAGCAAACAGGAUUAGAUA